Molecule: long non-coding RNA, 2226 nt
Organism: Drosophila simulans
Lineage: Eukaryota; Metazoa; Arthropoda; Insecta; Diptera; Drosophilidae
Exons: 2
Source: RefSeq, a predicted model, not a curated record
CCAGAGAGGUCCAAAGGGUGUGAUCGGUGCAGCCUCCUGGUGCGUUGACUGGUGUCCAGCAGGUCUUGUGCCAGGUUGUUUGGGUGGUCUUGAAGCCUCUGCAUGUACUGCCUGCUGCUUUUCUUAAUCUCAUCCUUCACCCAGGGGAAGCUGAGGACCUCGUGUAUAGUGGCAUUAUCGUGGAAAGGUGCCCCACAGUUGAAUGCCAUACGUCCAGAUUGGCCUUAUGAUCGCUUUGUAGAUAAGGAGCUUAGUGGAAGUCGGUAGCUUAGAUUGUCUGCCCAUCAGCCAGUAGAAUUCACGGACUCGGUUCUCCGCCUGUUUCCGCUUCUUUAGCAGGUGUGGUCUCCAUGUAAGUCUCCUGUCCAGUGUAAAGCCAAGAUAAUUUGGAUUGGCUACCUCUGGGAUUGGGAACCCGUUGAAACUGACUGGUGGGCAAGUGCCGCGUCUAGUUGCGAAGGUGGUAGCGGUUGACUUGUCGCUGUUUACCGAUAUAUUCCAUCUCGUGUGCCACGUGUUCAGUAGAUCUAGUUGUUCCUGCAUAGUCUGGGAGGCCUCUGCUGGGGUAUCUGCUGUUGUUAGGAACGCAGUAUCAUCGGCGUAAGUGGCUGCCAUAAUGUACUGGCUCGGUAUCACCGGCAGGUCAGCCGUAUACGCGUUGUAGAGGAGCGGACCGAGAACGCUUCCUUGGGGAACUCCUGCACGGGCUUCUUUGACGUCUGAGCGCGCUUCUCCACACCUGACGGCGAAUCUUCUGCCCUCCAGGAACGAUUUUAAGAACUUGAAAUAUGGCUGGGGCAGGCCGUUUUUGAGCUUUAGGAGGAGACCGGGGUGCCAAACACGAUCAAAGGCUUGCUUAAUGUCCAGCAUUACUGCUAGGCAGUAUUUCUUAUUCUCAAAGGCGUCCAGGAUAUAUUGCGCUACUCGGUGGCCUUGCUCUGGUGUCCCGUGGCGGCGCCUAAAGCCAAACUGGUGAUCAGGGAUCAGACCAGCCUCCUCAAUCACCGGCAAUACUCUGGUCAAAAAUACUCUUUCGAGUAUCUUGGAGAGUACUGGUAGUAGGCUGAUCGGGCGGUAGGAGGCGGGAUUGGCUUCGUGUUUACCAGGCUUCAGGAUCAUAACUACUUCGGCGCGUUUCCAUGAUGAAGGGAAGUGCCCCAAUUGCAAGCACUUAUUUAUUAUGGUCGUGAUUAGUGACUUGCUAAUAGGGGGGAGGAGCUUUAAAGCAAUGGCAUUGAUGGCAUCAUCGCCUGGAGCCUUGUGGUUACCCAUUGCCGCUAUUAAAUUGCUGAUUUCCUCUUCCGUGGCCUGGGGUAUCGACUCGGAGUCAAAGAGAGGUUCUGACAGGAGCCUGGCUGUUUCGGCUGCUUCAUUUGGGGAACAUCGAUUGGCUGGUGUGAAGACUUCCUCCAAGUGCUCGGCGAAUGCGUUGGCUCUUUCGGUCUCAGUUCUGCACCAUGAGUUGUCUUGUCUUCUGAUGGGCGGGAUCCUCUUCAGUGGCCUCUUGAUGCGCUUGGUAACAUUCCACAGGUUGUGGUGGGGAUCACCCGGCGCGAGAUUACCAACAAAGCUGUCGAGGGCCUCCUUCCUUAGCCUGACCAGAGUUUCCUUCAGCUCCUUGGUGGCUCUGUUGAGAGCUGUUUUGUCUCUAGGGUUCCUGGAGAGGAACCAAACCCGUCGGAGACGCCUUUUCUCUGACUUGAGCUCAUUAACCCGAGGAUUCCAAAAGUGGACGUCUCUACUUCUGUCCCUCGUUUGGUUAGAGAACCUUGGAGCAGCAUAAGUUGCUGCCUCCUGAAUUUGCGAGGUGAGGUUCACAACGGCCGCAUCUAUAAGUUCAGGGGUAUCCAAUGGUGGAUUAGUGACUGUCGAGUUGUUCAGCCAGUGGUGGUAUUUGCUGAUGUCGGACGUUUUGAAGAUUAACUUUUUACCCGCGGAUCUCAACAUGGCUGAGGCGUAGACCGAAACGGCAAUGGCACUAUGGUCCGAGAGAAGGUCUUCCACCUCCCUGGUCUGGAUUCUUGCCGGGUCCAGGCCGCCAGAGAUCGCAAAGUCCAAGAUGUCUGGAGUUUUUGCAGGGUCAGUGGGCCAGUAUGUUGGCGUCCCAGUUCCGUGGCAAUUGAGGUUGCGGGAGAGAACCUGCCUGCAUAGCGCGCGUCCUUUUGGAUUGCAUACUCUGGAACCCCACCAAGUGUGCUUGGCGUUAAAGUCACCUCCUAUGACGAA